GAGCGAUGGCUCAGUGGGUAAGAGCACUGGCUGGUCUUCCAGAGGACCUGGGUUCAAAUCCUAGCACUCA
Molecule: transfer RNA, 70 nt
Filed under: Mus musculus (house mouse)
Lineage: Eukaryota; Metazoa; Chordata; Mammalia; Rodentia; Muridae
Rfam family: tRNA
About the family: Transfer RNA (tRNA) molecules are approximately 80 nucleotides in length.
Source: Rfam by way of RNAcentral